This 395-nucleotide ribosomal RNA is filed under the name uncultured bacterium. Its description in RNAcentral is "bacterial SSU rRNA". It matches the Rfam family "Bacterial small subunit ribosomal RNA", at positions 30 to 429 of the family's 1533-position model. The record is from RNAcentral.
AUUGAACGCUGGCGGCAUGCCUUACACAUGCAAGUCGAACGGCAGCGGACCUUCGGGUGCCGGCGAGUGGCGAACGGGUGAGUAAUAUAUCGGAACGUACCUUUCAGUGGGGGAUAACGUAGCGAAAGUUACGCUAAUACCGCAUAUUCUGUGAGCAGGAAAGCAGGGGAUCGCAAGACCUUGCGCUGAUUGAGCGGCCGAUAUCAGAUUGGCUAGUUGGUGAGGUAAAGGCUCACCAAGGCGACGAUCUGUAGCGGGUCUGAGAGGAUGAUCCGCCACACUGGAACUGAGACACGGUCCAGACUCCUACGGGAGGCAGCAGUGGGGAAUUUUGGACAAUGGGGGCAACCCUGAUCCAGCCAUGCCGCGUGAGUGAAGAAGGCCUCGGUUGUAAG